Molecule: ribosomal RNA, 576 nt
Filed under: Filobasidium uniguttulatum
Lineage: Eukaryota; Fungi; Basidiomycota; Tremellomycetes; Filobasidiales; Filobasidiaceae
Description: eukaryotic LSU rRNA
Rfam family: Eukaryotic large subunit ribosomal RNA
Source: RNAcentral
GAAAACGAAACUAACAAGGAUUCCCCUAGUAACGGCGAGCGAAGCGGGAAGAGCUCAAAUUUGAAAUCUGGUGGCCUCAGGUCAUCCGAGUUGUAAUCUAUAGAAGUGUUUUCCGUGCUGGCCCAUGUACAAGUCCCUUGGAACAGGGCGUCAUAGAGGGUGAGAAUCCCGUCCUUGACAUGGACUACCAGUGCUCUGUGAUACACUUUCAACGAGUCGAGUUGUUUGGGAAUGCAGCUCAAAAUGGGUGGUAAAUUCCAUCUAAAGCUAAAUAUUGGCGAGAGACCGAUAGCGAACAAGUACCGUGAGGGAAAGAUGAAAAGCACUUUGGAAAGAGAGUUAAACAGUAUGUGAAAUUGUUGAAAGGGAAACGAUUGAAGUCAGUCGUGCUCAAUGGACUCAGCCGUUCUGCGGUGUAUUUCCAUUGGGUGGGGUCAACAUCAGUUUUGAUCGCUGGAUAAAGGCAGGAGGAAUGUAGCACCCCCGGGUGAACUUAUAGCCUCUUGUCACAUACAGUGGUUGGGACUGAGGAACGCAGCAUGCCUUUAUGGCCGGGAUUCGUCCACGUACAUGCUU